AGGAGUUUAGGUUAAAUAGACCAAGAGCCUUCAAAGCUCUAAGUAAAUACUACAUAUAUUUAACUCCUG
RNAcentral lists this transfer RNA (69 nucleotides) under Choeroniscus minor (lesser long-tailed bat). Its description in RNAcentral is "tRNA-Trp". The record is from RNAcentral. Lineage: Eukaryota; Metazoa; Chordata; Mammalia; Chiroptera; Phyllostomidae.